Molecule: ribosomal RNA, 407 nt
Filed under: uncultured bacterium
Lineage: Bacteria
Description: partial 16S ribosomal RNA
Rfam family: Bacterial small subunit ribosomal RNA
Source: RNAcentral
AUUGAACGCUGGCGGCAGGCCUAACACAUGCAAGUCGAGCGGAGCGGCGGACGGGUGAGUAAUGCCUAGGAAUCUGCCUGGUCGUGGGGGAUAACGUCCGGAAACGGGCGCUAAUACCGCAUACUAUCAGAUGAGCCUAGGUCGGAGUAGCUAGUUGGUGGGGUAAAGGCCUACCAAGGCGCCGAGCCGUAACUGGUUUGAGAGGAUGAUCAGUCACACGGGAACGGAGACACGGUCCAUACUCCUACGGGAGGCGGCAUGGGGGAAUAUUGGACAAGGGGCGAAAGCCUGAUCCAGCCAUGCGGCGUGUGUGAAGAAGUUCUUCGGAUUGUAAAGCACUUUAAGUUGGGAGGCGUUACCAACAGAAUAAGCACCGGCUAACUUCGUGCCAGCAGCCGCGGUAAUUC